CACAUUAGCUGUGUUACCAUCUACAUUCCAAUUCUUCACAAUGAUCGCAAAGGUGAGCCGUGACUUGUGGACCCAUACUCACGUAUAUCAUUAUACAUCUCAUAGAAAGGAAUAUUAUCUAUAUAAUUACCGAUUUUAUCAGUGAUAAGAUGAAUUUCCUUUCCAGACCGCCGUCCUUCUGGCCCUUGUAGAUGUCGCCGUCGCUGCUCCCUCACAGCCCGCAUAUGGCUAUACCCCUGAGCCUACAUAUGAGGAACCUGCCAAGUACGACUUUAACUACGCAGUUAAAGAUGACUACUCUGGAAACGACUUCGGUCACCAGGAGGCCCGUGAUGGCUAUGACACCCAAGGUUCCUACUACGUUCUCCUUCCCGACGGUCGUCUGCAGAAGGUCAC
RNAcentral lists this unclassified non-coding RNA (396 nucleotides) under Penaeus japonicus. RNAcentral describes it as "cuticle protein 7-like, transcript variant X1". Lineage: Eukaryota; Metazoa; Arthropoda; Malacostraca; Decapoda; Penaeidae. The record is from RNAcentral.